CCCUAGUAACGGCGAGUGAAGCGGGAAGAGCUCAAAUUUGAAAUCUGGCGGUCUAGGCCGUCCGAGUUGUAAUCUAGAGAGGUGUUUUCCGUGCCGGACCGUGUACAAGUCCCUUGGAACAGGGCGUCAUAGAGGGUGAGAAUCCCGUCCAUGACACGGACUAUCGGUGCUCUGUGAUACACCUUCAAAGAGUCGAGUUGUUUGGGAAUGCAGCUCAAAAUGGGUGGUAAAUUCCAUCUAAAGCUAAAUACAGGCGAGAGACCGAUAGCGAACAAGUACCGUGAGGGAAAGAUGAAAAGAACUUUGGAAAGAGAGUUAAACAGUACGUGAAAUUGUUGAAAGGGAAACGCUUGAAGUCAGUCGCGUCUGCCAGGACUCAGCCUUGCUUCUGCAUGGUGCAUUUCCUGGUGGAUGGGCCAGCAUCGAUUUUGGUCGCCGGACAAGGGCGGGAGGAAUGUGGCAGCUUGCUGUGUUAUAGCCUCCCGUCGUACACGGUGGUUGGGAUCGAGGACUGCAGCACGCCUUUGGUCGGGGUUCGCCCACGCCACGUGCUUAGGAUGCUGGCGUAAUGGCUUUAAACGACCCGUCUUGAAACACGGACCAAGGAGUCUAACAUGCCUGCGAGUGUUUGGGCGUUAAACCCAGGCGCGUAAUGAAAGUGAAAAGUUGGGACUCUUUAGUGAGGCACCGACGCCCGAUCCUGACGUUCUCUGACGGAUUUGAGGUAGAGCAUGUAUGUUGGGACCCGAAAGAUGGUGAACUAUGCCUGAAUAGGGUGAAGCCAGAGGAAACUCUGGUGGAGGCUCGUAGCGAUUCUGACGUGCAAAUCGAUCGUCAAAUUUGGGUAUAGGGGCGAAAGACUAAUCGAACCAUCUAGUAGCUGG
Molecule: ribosomal RNA, 884 nt
Filed under: Heteroradulum kmetii
Lineage: Eukaryota; Fungi; Basidiomycota; Agaricomycetes; Auriculariales; Auriculariaceae
Description: eukaryotic LSU rRNA
Rfam family: Eukaryotic large subunit ribosomal RNA
Source: RNAcentral